Molecule: long non-coding RNA, 6954 nt
Filed under: Salmo salar (Atlantic salmon)
Lineage: Eukaryota; Metazoa; Chordata; Actinopteri; Salmoniformes; Salmonidae
Description: lncRNA (ENSSSAG00000086768.1)
Source: RNAcentral
AUAUAUAAAUAAAUAAAUAAAUAAAUGAUCAUUUCAUAUUUAAGUUAACUGCCACGUGAUUCUCCGCCCAUGCAGGCAGCCUACUCUAUUUCAAUGAGACCACACAUACUAGGGGCACUUAAAUUCUAGUAUGUGAACUAAGAGAGGUAGGAUACUGAAGUUAAAGCAGCGAAUUCUGAGUGUGUGAAUAAUGCGAAAAAUAUGUGCUUUUAAUACAAGAGGUAGGCUAACGCAUUUAAAGCAGAAAGAGGACCGUUUCCAAAUAACUUGUGGGACAGCAAAAAUAUUUUUAUCCCAAGGUCGUCUGUCUGACUGCCGCAGAAUGAAAAAUGCAGACCGCGCACCAAUAAUCUCUGUCGGGACCCGCAAGUCCUGCAAGCAUCGCGUGGGAAUGCAGCCCUCUAGUGCACAGUCAUCUUACCAGGAUCAGAUGGUGACAGAGGUCCCAGCAGAGUCAAACAGCCAGGGAAGACCAGACUACGGAGCACAGGCGAGCAGUAUAUUAACAACAUCAGUGAAUGAUACAAAGUUCCAUCUUAAAUUGAUGGGUAGACCUACAGUAGCUACAGGGCAGCAUCUUAAGCUUAAAGCUACAGUCUGGGAUCUGGGAAUAAUGAUAAUUUCAAUGAUUGAACCGUUGAUUCUAUUCUUGGAUAAUACAUUGUAUAAAUGUACACCAAGGUAAUUCUUUGUCAUGCCUCAUCUUAGGAGGAUCAGAUGGUGACAGGGGUCUCAUUAGGGUCAGGCAGCCAGGGAAGGCCAGUCUGUGAUGGAGCUGAGGGGAAUUUUUGCAGAUACAACACUUUAUUCUCUCUGUGCAGAUGCUAUUUUAAGACAAACCUUAAGUUGAUUUCCAAACUGUAUCAAUGGUUGAUAGAGGCUUUUCCUGAUGACACAAAACAUAUAUAGUAAAACAAAAUGUGAGGAAGAUCUGGUAGAAGCUAUUGAUAAUGAUGAAUGGAUACAGAUAUGUUUGAAUGCCCAGUCAUGUUCAUAACAUCUCAGACAUAAAUUACUGCAGUUUGAGACCAUCAAUAGAACGUACUAUUUGCCAGUGAAACUGAAUUACAUGCACUCAGAAAUGUCAUUCCGCUACUGGAGGUGUAAAACACAGAAGGGGACAUAUUUGCAUAUGUUAUGAUCUUGUGAAGGCUGGUUGAAUUCUUGCAAAGAGUAUGUACUUUUAUCUCAGCAUGUCUACAGAUUCUCCCUGUGUUUGUUUACUUGGAAAUGUUGAUACUGGAGACUGUUAACUGAAGAAACUGUAACCAAGCGUUUAUAGUGGCCAAGAAAUGCAUUGCCAUUAAUUGGAAGGUUGGUUAUCCUCCCACAAUGUCAAGUUAUGUAUCACUUGAUUUUAUUUAAUACAAGAUUAAGUGUAUACUGGGCAACUUUCAUAAUGUCUGGGUGCCUUAUAUGGAAUACAGUACAACUAAAGGAAUCUGUAUUGAAAACAUGCCCACGUCAGGACAGAUACCUACAGUACAUUCGGAGAGUAUUCAGACCCCUUGACUUUUUCCACACUUUAUGUUACGAUUGGACAUGAUUUGGAAAGGCACACACCCGUCUAUUUAAGGUCCCACAGUUGACAGUGCAUGUCAGAGCAUAAACCAAGCCGUGAGUUUGAAGGAAUUGUCUGUAGAGCUCAGAGACAGGAUUGUGUCAAGGCACAGAUCUGGGGAAGGGUACCAAAAAAAUGUAUGCAGCAUUGAAGGUCCCCAAGAACACAGUGGCCUCAAUCAUUGUUAAAUGGAAGAAGUUUGGAUCCACCAAGACUCUUCCUAGAGCUGACCGCCCGGCCAAACUGAGCAAUUGGGGUAAAGGGGCCUUGGUCAAGGGAGGUGACCAAGAACCCGAUGGUCACUCUGAAAGAGCUCCAGAGUUCUUCUGUGGAGAUGGGAGAACCUUCCAAAAGGACAACCAUCUCUGCAGCACUCCAUCAAUCAGGCCUUUAUGGUAGAGUGGCCAGACGGAAGCCACUAAUCAGGAAAAGGCACAUGACAGCCCGCUUGGAGGUUGCCAAAAAGCACCUAAAGACUCUCAGACCAUGAGAAACAAGAUUCUCUGGUCUGAUUAAACCAACAUUGAAUUUUUUGGCCUGAAUGCCAAGCGUCACGUCUGGAGGAAUCCUGGCACCAUCCCUACGGUGAAGCAUAGUGGUGGCAGCAUCAUGCUGUGGGGAUGUUUUUCAGCGGCAGGGACUGGGAGAUUAGUCAGGAUCGAGGCAAAGAUGAACGGAGCAAAGUACAGAGAGAUCAUUAACGAAAACCUGCUCCAGAGUGCUCAGGACUUUAGACUGGGGCGAAGGUUCACCUUCCAAAAGGACAACGACCCUAAGCAGACAGUCAUGACAACACAGGAGUGGCUUCAGGACAAUUCUCUGAAUGUCCUUUAGUGGCCCAGCCAGUCCGGACUUCAACCCGAUCUAACCUCUGUGGAGAGACCUGAAAAUAGCUGUGCAGCGAUGAUCCCGAUCCAACCUGACAGAGCUUGAAAGGAUCUGCAGGGAAGAAUGUGUAACGAUCGUCGUCGGGUGAUGAGGAAGCGGACCAAAACGCAGCUGGGAGUGAACACAUGUUUAUUCUUUACACUGAAAUAAACACGUACACAAAACCAAGACAAGGCCGAUACGUUAACUUGCUCAAACACAGAGGCAACACCCCACAAACAGCGUGGGGGAAAAAGGAACUUAAAUGUGAUCCCAAUCAGAGACAACUAGCGACAGCUGUCUCUGAUUGGGAAUCGACAGAACCCAACAUAGAAAUAAACACCUAGAGCUAACACAAGGCUGGGGGUACAAGCAGAAAUAGGGGAGUACUAACUAACUCUCAUAGUAGUAGAUGUGAGUUUCUCUUUCAAACAAUCCGCUGUCCUUGUACACAGCUAGGAGCGAACAUUCGCCAAAGCAAGCUAGCUACUGAUAGUGCAACCCUAAGUAACAGUACAGAUGAAGAUGAAAAAUGAUCAGGCCUAGUGUACAUCUUACUGUAGAAAUUAUUGUUGAUAACUAGUCUAAGUUGGAACUGUUGCUGUUAAAAUACAAUAGCAGUUCAGAAUAAAAAUAUGUAUUGCAUUUUAACAGCAACAGUUGCAACCUAGACUUUCUAGGUUGGAAUAAUUUCUACAGUAAGAUGUACAGUAGGCCUGAUCAUUUUUCAUCUGUACUGUUACUUAGGGUUGCACUAUCAAAAAGCCUGUGUGUGUGUUCUGUUGUUCAUCUGUGUGAUGUGAUCAAUACGUUUAUUCCAGUUCAGAAUGAAAAUUAUUUAUUGUAUUUUUAACAGCAACUGUUCCAGCCUAGACAGAUCUGUAAGUGUUUUAAUGGGGGAAAAUAAACAUGAUUAGAUAUUUAUAUGGAUAUUUAAUUUCAUUGUUAUUUUUUUUUUGUUGUUGUCUAUAUUUCAUUUGUUUUAGGCAUAAGGGCAAUGAAAUGUACCAAUAUUUAUGUAUAGUUGCAUAUUUUCCUAAGCUACAAAUACCUAGGUGUCUGGAUAGACUGUAAACUCUCCUUCCAGACUCACAUCAAACAUCUCCAAUCCAAAGUUAAAUCUAGAAUUGGCUUCCUAUUUCGCAACAAAGCAUCCUUCACUCAUGCUGCCAAACAUACCCUCGUAAAACUGACCAUCCUCGACUUCGGCGAUGUCAUUUAGAAAAUAGCCUCCAAUACCCUACUCAAUAAAUUGGAUGCAGUCUAUUACAGUGCCAUCCGUUUUGUCACCAAAGCCCCAUAUACUACCCACCACUGCGACCUGUAUGCUCUUGUUGGCUGGCCCUCGCUUCAUACUCGUCGCCAAACCCACUGGCUACAGGUCAUCUACAAGACCCUGCUAGGUAAAGUCCCCCCUUAUCUCAGCUCGCUGGUCACCAUAGCAGCACCCACCCAUAGCACGCGCUCCAGCAGGUAUAUCUCACUGGUCACCCCCAAAGCCAAUUACUACUUUGGCUGCCUCUCCUUCUAUUUCUCUGCUGCCAAUGACUGGAACGAACUGCAAAAAUCUCUGAAACUGGAAACACUUGUCUCCAACACUAGCUUUAAACACCAGCUGUCAGAGCAGCUCACAGAUCACUGCACCUGUACAGAGCACAUCUAUAAAUAGCCCAAACAACUACCUCUUCCCCUACUGUAUUUAUUUAUUUAUUUUGCUCCUUUUCACCCCAGUAUUUCUACUUUGCACAUUCAUCUACUGCAAAUCUACCAUUCCAGUGUUUUACUUGCUAUAUUGUAUUUACUUCGCCACCAUGGCCUAUUUAUUGCCUUUACCUCCCUUAUCUCACCUCAUUUGUUCACAUUGUAUAUAGACUUAUUUUUCGACUAUAUUAUUGACUGUAUGUUAGAGUUACACAUGGAGUAAAACAGUGUUGUUGUAUGUGUCGAACUGCUUUGCUUUAUCUUGGCCAUGUCGCAGUUGUAAAUGAGAACUUGUUCUCAACUUGCCUACCUGGUUAAAUAAAGGUGAAAUAAAUAAAAUAAUAAAAGCUUGGGCCCCAGGAAAACACAGAAUUUCUUAUUUGGGUCACAGACUGAAAAAGUUUAAGAACCCCUGCUCAAGUCUGAUCCCUCCUGAUGACCUGGAUGGAAUUGACCCUUCGCUAAGCCCCGCCCCCCUUGGUUACUAUUGAAACCUCAGACAACAUUUUCCCAGGAAGCUGAAUUCCCCCUUCUAACCACUGGCGAAAUCCCCUCACAAUGAUCUCAAACUGUGUUUUUAAUGAAAACCUUCUUGAUUUCCACUAAUGCGAUUCUGCCAUUACAAUACCCUAUGAAAAUCCUGCCUACUUCCUGGUGCAUGUCCCAUACUGUUUGUGAUUGUACAUAAAGCUUAUAUCAGCUUAUAAAUUCAUGAAAAUGGGACUUCAUAGGGUAUUGCUUCAUGGGAAUCUGGUAAAAUUAUGUCUGAAUUCACUGUCAGCAUACAGUCAAAGCUACUAGCCAUUUUGGAGUUGUGCCCUCAAAUCGUUUGCUGAUGUCGACAUCAGAUGGGAGUUGUAUUAAUAGCAGGGCUGUCCCCGACAACAAAAGAAUAUUAGGCAACCAAAAGUCGUCUGUUCUUUCGACCAAUCGAUUGGUGGAUUUAAUUUUUUUUAUUUGUUGUACUUUGUACCCCCAUUUAUUCUCCCCAAUUGGUAGUUACAGUCUUGUCCCAUCUCUGAAACUCCCCAAUGGACUCGGGAGAGGCGAAUCCCUAGAGUGUCCAAAGCUGUCAUCAAGGCAAAAGGUGGAUACUUUGGUUACACUUUUUUGGUUACUACUUGAUUCCAUGUGUUAUUUCAUAGUUUUGAUGUCUUCACUAUUGUUCUACAAUGUAGAAAAUAGUAAAAAUAAAAAAAAACCUUGAAUGAGUAGGUGUGUGUGUACAAUGGGGCCUCCCGGGUGGCGCCGUGGUCUAAGGCACCAGAGACUCUGGGUUCGAGCCCAGGCUCUGUCGCAGCCGGCCGCGACCGGGAGGCCCAUGGGGCGACGCACAAUUGGCCUAGCGUCGUCCGGGUUAGGGAGGGUUUGGCCGGCAGGGGUAACCUUGUCUCAUCGCGCACUAGCAACUCCUGUGGCGGGCUGGGUGCAGUGCGCGCUAAUCAGGUCGCUAGGUGUACGGUGUUUCCUCCGACACAUUGGUGCGGCUGGCUUCCGGGUUGGAUCCGCGCUGUGUUAAGAAGCAGUGCGGCUUGGUUGGGUUGUGUUUCGGAGGAUGCAUGGCUCUCGACCUUCGCCUCUCCCGAGUCCGUGCGGGUGUUGUAGCGAUGAGACAAGACAGUAACUACUAACAAUUGGAUACCACGAAAUUGGGGAGAAAAAGGGGUUUAAAAAAAAAAGAGCUCCAACUUCUUAAUCAUAGCCUCAAUUUUGUCCCGCACAUUGAUAUAGUUGCGAAAAGUCCCUGUAAUCCUAUAUUCAGAUCAUUCAGGCGAGAAAGAACAUCACCCAGACAGGCCAGUCGUGUGAGAAACUCGUCAUCAUGCGAGCGGUCAGACAAGUGAAAAUUAUGAAUAUCCCACCAUUAUAGGACCAAGCAGCAUGCCCAGGAGGUAAAGGAGAGUUGGACAUGGGAAGAAAUACUGGAUGGAUGCGAGACCCUUCCUUGGCGGGAGUCGCCAAGGAGUAAAAGAGGACAGCAACAACGCCGGGGUCCGCGGCCACAAACAGCCCAAGGGCAACCCCAAGAUUUCUUUUGGGGGGGGGCACAAGGGGCGGUCAGCCGAGGAGAGAGCCAGAGACAGUCUGGGAGUUGAUGGAGCAGUUGGAGGAGGGAUAUCGGAGAGAGAUGUUGGUUAGGUGUAUUCUGCAGCGCACUCGCCCUGAAGAGCAUGUCAUCAGUCCGGUGAAACCUGUGCCGGUUCCAGGCCUCCAGUGCGCCUUCCCAGCCCUGUUACUGUCACGCCCUGACCAUAGAAAGCCCUCGGGGUUCUCCAUGGUGUUUUAGGUCAGGUUGUGACUAGGGGAGUUUUCUAGGGAUUAUAUCUCUAUGUUGGUGUGUGAGUAUGGUUCCCAAUUGGAGGCAGCUGAUUAUCGUUGCCUCUAAUUGGGGAUCAUACUUAGUGUGUCCUUUUUCCCACCUGCAAUGUGGAAUAUUGUUUCGUAUUAGUGCCUAUGUGCGCUACAUACUGCACGAUUGUUAUAGCUUUGUUGUUUUUGGAAGUUUCACUAUUAAUAAAAUUUGGAACUCUACUCACGCUGCGCUUUGGUCUAAUUAUUUAUAUGACGGUCGUGACACAUUGCAUAAUGCAGAAAAUACACGAUAGUUCAGGGGCCUUGCUUUAACAAAGUUAACCAUUUUCACUGUGAUGUCGAAAACGUAUUUCAAGCUAUCAGGCAUUCCCUUGGCAGCAAGAGCCUCUCGGUGAAUGCUGCAGUGUACCAAAGUGGCGUCAGGAGCAACUGCUUGCACGUGCAUUACCACACAACUAUGUAUUUCUGUCAUGGCUUUUGCGCCAUCAGUACAGAUAUCAACACGUCUUGAC